GCAUUUCCUUAUACUUCUUCAUAGGUUAUUAAAUUACCCUGAACUUAACUCAAGAUGUGAAUUCAAAUAUUAUUUUUAUAUAGGCAGUUUUUUCAAAUAACAGAAACUAUUGUACUCUGUAGACUUUUCACACACUUACACAGCAUAGAAGGUGCUAGUCAAAUGUUACUUUUAUUGGUGACAUUACUAUUACCUCUGACUCUGCAAAGCAGAACUUAUUCAUG
Molecule: long non-coding RNA, 224 nt
Filed under: Bos taurus (domestic cattle)
Lineage: Eukaryota; Metazoa; Chordata; Mammalia; Artiodactyla; Bovidae
Description: long non-coding RNA NONBTAT016953
Source: RNAcentral